UUGGCGCAAUGCAAAAAAAUAAUAAUAAUAAUGACGGCUUGCAGAUCAGUUCCACACACUGAUCUGCAAGUGGUAAGCGGACAGCCCAGUUCUGGGGGAAGGAUCCAGUUGGCCCAACUGGACCUGUUGUGUCAAUAUUCGUAUUCAUCUCCCCUGCUGGCAAUAUUCGUAUUUGUCUCCUCCGGGAGAUGAAUACGAAUAUCUCAUCUCUAUAAAGAACAGAUGAACAAUCAAAGGGAAGACCUUGAGAACAUCUGGCAGGUUGUCCCCACUGCCCUGACAUUCACCAUCUGUGGUCACUGGCACAGCCUGCCUAAUGGUAGGAACAGUGCUGGAUCUUAGCUUCCUGUGCUUGAUCGUUCAACUUGUCUCUUAGUCCGCAACCUCACUUUCAUCACCUUUUCGCUGUCCCUUUUCUUUGACAAUUUCCACUUUGUUAAUUAACAAGGAUUUAAUCAGCUCAACUAAAGAUAGACCUAUCUGAACUUCUUCUUUUCUGACACUGACAUACCUAAUCAUAGAAAGACCUUUCUCAGCUGCUGAAGGCUUGAUGGCAACGGAUUUUUUUUGAGAGAGAGCUAUAUUUAGCCGCACACGGCAAGCUUGUUCAGAAGGAAGGGAAAGGGAGAGAAGAAAAAACGUGGGCAAGAAAAUAUCAAGAAGAAUUUCACUGUAGUCCUUAAGGUCAGAGGAAACCAAAUGGAUUCUGUUCCAAUUAAGCUUGCACAGGAAUUAUGUCUUGGACGUCUCCUUUUCUUAUUCACUUGCUUGUUUGAAGAUUCGGUGGCAAAAGAGGCAGUAUCGCCAUGGAUACACAGCAUUUUGGGCACCUGGGCUGCGCUUGGGGUUGGAAGAGACUGGCCUAUGCAUGGCGAGGCAGCCAUCUUGAGAAGACUAAUGGAUAGGGAGAAAUGUCUGGAUACACAACAGAUUGGAGAGCUGCAAAUCCCACAAGAUCUGGACUGUCUUCCUUUGUACAGCUUCUUUCAACCGAGCCUGGGCCAUGAAAGACUUCAGCUACAAAGGCUGCUCCAGUUGCUGGAGGCAUCUGGAGAGCAGGAGAGUUGAAGAAUUCUUCUUGCAAGCAUCCAUUAAUGCCCCUGCUAGUGUCCUGUCACCCAGUUGUACUAAACAUAAAAGAAGGAGAGGCUAGCCACCCCUGCCUCCAACAGUGAGGGACAGAAGAGGAGAUGCUCUAUUUCAUAUAGAGGCUCUAGUCUACACGUGAUCCGGAGCCCUUGCAAAAUCAGAUUUUCUGAUCCCAAGGAAAGCUCUGAUGUGCAACAGUGAUUCUCCUCUUCAGAACAUCAUUCUCUACACUUGGAAAGCCAUGUCUUUUAGAGCAGGGUGGGUUAAGGGUGACCCUCCAGAUGUUAUACGAUUACAAAUCCCCAGCCUUCCUCCCCCUUAGCGGUGCAGCCUGGGGCCGAGGGGAGCCACAGAGGUGCAAAACAUCUGGAGGAUUACCCUUUGCCCAUUUCCUCCACUACAGAAUGAACAAAGAGAGCUUUUGGUCUUUGGUAAAAUGGAUUAUUAUCACGGCAGUUGGAAUUAUGUUUUUUGGAUUGUGGUUGCCGAUCCUUGUGGAUGACUGGUGGACAUCCUUGUAGGCUCUAGCAAGAGGAGAAAGCAAGGCCAUUCCACCUGCUCUGUGAAAAGACCUUCUCCCUUGGGGGUCCUUUUUCACCACCAGCCAGCAGAAUGCAACAGAGGGAGGAAAGGUGAGCAGCCUGGCCAUGCACCUCAUCAUCAUCCUUUUCUUCCCAUUACACUCACAAACACACCAUUUUGCCAUAUAUAUUUCAGUUGUGAAGCCUGCAUGAAACGCCUGUUUGUUAUUAAUUGUACAUAAGCUGCCUAGUUACCCUUUCUGGCUGAGCCGUGGGUUAAAAAUAUUAUAACUAGAAAAGCCUGAUUAGUGGAUUGUUUGAAAUGAGCAUAUAUUUAUUUAAUAUUUGCAGGAUUCAUGGCAUUUGAUUGGCUUGCAAUUGUUAGUGAAUUAUCUUGGCACACUUAAUAAAAUAUGCAAACCCUCCUGAGAAACUAAGCUG
Molecule: long non-coding RNA, 2051 nt
Organism: Pogona vitticeps (central bearded dragon)
Lineage: Eukaryota; Metazoa; Chordata; Lepidosauria; Squamata; Agamidae
Source: Ensembl